CUGCGCGCUUAUACUGCAAGUCGAGGGGCAGCAGACCAUUUCGGUGGUGCUGGCGACCGGCGCACGGGUGCGUAACGCGUAUGCAAUCUACCUUCAACUAAGGGAUAGCCCCGAGAAAUCGGGAUUAAUACCUUAUAAUAUAUAUUUACCGCAUGGCAGAUAUAUUAAAGCUCCGGCGGUUGAAGAUGAGCAUGCGUGACAUUAGUUAGUUGGUGAGGUAACGGCUCACCAAGACAUCGAUGUCUAGGGGUCCUGAGAGGGUUACCCCCCACACUGGUACUGAGACACGGACCAGACUCCUACGGGAGGCAGCAGUAAGGAAUAUUGGGCAAUGGACGCAAGUCUGACCCAGCCAUGCCGCGUGCAGGAUUGAAGGCCCUAUGGGUUGUAAACUGCUUUUAUAUGCCAAGAACCCCCCGAACGUGUUCGGGGCUGACGGUAGCAUACGAAUAAGCACCGGCUAACUCCGUGCCAGCAGCCGCGGUAAUACGGAGGGUGCAAGCGUUAUCCGGAUUUAUUGGGUUUAAAGGGUGCGCAGGCGGAAUGAUUAGUCAGUGGUGAAAUCCUACAGCUCAACUGUAGAACUGCCAUUGAUACUGUCAU
RNAcentral lists this ribosomal RNA (603 nucleotides) under uncultured bacterium. RNAcentral's name for it is "bacterial SSU rRNA". It matches the Rfam family "Bacterial small subunit ribosomal RNA", at positions 40 to 639 of the family's 1533-position model. The record is from RNAcentral.